RNAcentral lists this unclassified non-coding RNA (250 nucleotides) under plant metagenome. RNAcentral describes it as "partial contains small subunit ribosomal RNA, internal transcribed spacer 1, and 5.8S ribosomal RNA". The stretch from base 204 to 250 matches the Rfam family "5.8S ribosomal RNA", at positions 1 to 47 of the family's 154-position model. The record is from RNAcentral.
GUAGGUGAACCUGCGGAAGGAUCAUUAUCGAGUUCGGGUCCUUGGGGCCCCCUCUCCCACCCUUGCCAAUCUUACCAUGUUGCUUUGGCGGGCCCGUCUUCAACCGGACCGCCGGGGAGUCGUCUCCCUGGUCCGCGCCCGCCAACAGCCCCCACCAAAUCCUCUUGAAGCGUGAUAUCUGAGUCCCAACAAACAAUAAUCAAAACUUUCAACAACGGAUCUCUUGGUUCUGGCAUCGAUGAAGAACGCA